This is a long non-coding RNA of Raphanus sativus (radish), 1495 nucleotides long. RefSeq lists it as uncharacterized. NCBI's taxonomy places the organism in Eukaryota, Viridiplantae, Streptophyta, Magnoliopsida, Brassicales, Brassicaceae. The transcript has 7 exons. The record is from RefSeq and is a predicted model, not a curated record.
AUGAAGCCCGUGAUAAUUGAUUGUCGGAGACCCGAGAAAGAGCCGACUCGAGCUCGCCCUCCUCAGAUCUUCAAACCCUAAUUCAUGAAUCAUCUCGGGAACCUUUGCUCUUCCUCUUCUUUCACGAUUUGAUCCUCGAACAAUCAAUACAUCCUCUACUUCGUCUCCCUUUACUCUCAUUAAUGGAUUCGCUUUGCUUUUCUCAUUCAGAUUUUGUUUUAUUUUGAUCAAACUUGGUCCUAUAGUCUCAUUUCUAGCAAUCGCGGUCCCAGCUUUCCCUUGCGUGCGGUUACCUCUCAUUCACCAGUCUCAGGUCUAUUUUCUUUCUUCAGGAUGUGAACGUUUGUGUAAGUACGGUUUAGCGUUCGCAUUUCAUGAAAAUUGGAAAACUAAGGAUCUGAACCAAAAGUUUUGUUGGAAGCUGUUUAUUUCUCAACGCCACUUUUGCAACACACAUCUACUUAGACUGACACAGCUGUUUUAAAAGAACACUAUACAAGAAAUGGCUCAAACCAAACUGCCUCUUCAUCAAAGUUGCUUCAUGCCCAGAAUAUAGAAUCUCUCACUGUUUCAGAGCUUAACCAAUAUGUCCUCGCAGCUGAACCUCAGCUGAGAGUAACUUUAUCUUAAGUUAGUUAUCUGAUUGUCAUUUCUAAUUGUUCAAGUCUCCUUAGUGAGGACAUAUAAUUGAGCUGCUUUGUACUGCCAAAGUGACUGGUAUCAAGACAGAUAAGGAUGGUGCUAUAUUGAUUGCUUGAAAUGUUCAAAGAAGCUGCAGAGAAUCUCAUCUUCCACAUGCAUCAUGUAUAAUAACACCAGCGCUGUGUGUGUCCUCAGUUAUAGUGUGGACCUCUCUGUCUCAGUCUAGACAGAUGAUGAUAUCUUUGAUAUGGAGAUGGCUAAGUUAACCAACAUUCACGCAGCUGAAGCUGCACAAAUUUUAAGUGCAGGUCUCAGUGCUAAGUAGAUAAUGAGCUCCCCCAGUUUAUUGUUGAUAUAGUUGGUAAGAGCUACACUUUCCAGCUCAAGUUAGGAGAGUUCUGUUUCACUGCCAAACACCAAACCUUCACCAUCUCCGGUAUCAUUACUGAGUGUCAGCGUGGAUUACUCCCAGACUUUGUUACAGAUGUUGGUAUCGCAAAACUGAAAAACAAGAAUGACUCGACACAAAAACUCUAGGCCUGAAUUAAGGACAGCCAACAUGUUUUGGGUGAAUCAAAUCUGAUGCAGCUCUUCCUCCGAUUGCAACUCAGAGCCAUGGGACAAGUCUUAUCGAAGGCUAUGAUGCAGUUAUAUUACUGCAAGUUGGUUACUUGACAGCUGAAACAAUUCUUCAAACUGCCGAUGAACAAGUCAUAUCAUAUCCACGGAAAAAGUGCCUAUUUCAAUAUGAACUUUACGCGUCGUGCCUAUUCCUUCACGAACUUUGUAGUAGUGCGUAUUCCACACUGAAUUAAACAAAUUUUUUUAAAAUACUAUAUGAACUUUAUGCGUC